GACGUACGCUGGCGGCGUGCUUAACACAUGCAAGUCGAACGCUGAAGCUUGGUGCUUGCACUGGGUGGAUGAGUGGCGAACGGGUGAGUAAUACGUGAGUAACCUGCCCUUGACUCUGGGAUAAGCCUGGGAAACUGGGUCUAAUACUGGAUAUGACAUGCCACUGCAUGGUGGUGUGUGGAAAGGGUUUUACUGGUUUUGGAUGGGCUCACGGCCUAUCAGCUUGUUGGUGGGGUAAUGGCCUACCAAGGCGACGACGGGUAGCCGGCCUGAGAGGGUGACCGGCCACACUGGGACUGAGACACGGCCCAGACUCCUACGGGAGGCAGCAGUGGGGAAUAUUGCACAAUGGGCGGAAGCCUGAUGCAGCGACGCCGCGUGAGGGAUGACGGCCUUCGGGUUGUAAACCUCUUUCAGCACGGAAGAAGCGAGAGUGACGGUACGUGCAGAAGAAGCGCCGGCUAACUACGUG
This 472-nucleotide ribosomal RNA is filed under the name uncultured bacterium. RNAcentral's name for it is "partial 16S ribosomal RNA". It matches the Rfam family "Bacterial small subunit ribosomal RNA", at positions 28 to 507 of the family's 1533-position model. The record is from RNAcentral.